Molecule: ribosomal RNA, 461 nt
Filed under: Escherichia coli
Lineage: Bacteria; Pseudomonadati; Pseudomonadota; Gammaproteobacteria; Enterobacterales; Enterobacteriaceae
Description: bacterial SSU rRNA
Rfam family: Bacterial small subunit ribosomal RNA
Source: RNAcentral
UUAAAUUGAAGAGUUUGAUCAUGGCUCAGAUUGAACGCUGGCGGCAGGCCUAACACAUGCAAGUCGAACGGUAACAGGAAGCAGCUUGCUGCUUUGCUGACGAGUGGCGGACGGGUGAGUAAUGUCUGGGAAACUGCCUGAUGGAGGGGGAUAACUACUGGAAACGGUAGCUAAUACCGCAUAACGUCGCAAGACCAAAGAGGGGGACCUUCGGGCCUCUUGCCAUCGGAUGUGCCCAGAUGGGAUUAGCUAGUAGGUGGGGUAACGGCUCACCUAGGCGACGAUCCCUAGCUGGUCUGAGAGGAUGACCAGCCACACUGGAACUGAGACACGGUCCAGACUCCUACGGGAGGCAGCAGUGGGGAAUAUUGCACAAUGGGCGCAAGCCUGAUGCAGCCAUGCCGCGUGUAUGAAGAAGGCCUUCGGGUUGUAAAGUACUUUCAGCGGGGAGGAAGGGAGUA